RNAcentral lists this ribosomal RNA (407 nucleotides) under uncultured bacterium. RNAcentral's name for it is "partial 16S ribosomal RNA". It matches the Rfam family "Bacterial small subunit ribosomal RNA", at positions 29 to 526 of the family's 1533-position model. The record is from RNAcentral.
AUUGAACGCUAGCGGGGUGCCUUACACAUGCAAGUCGAACGGAGUGGCGAGCGGGUGGGUAAUGUAUCGGAGGGUGCCCAGUAGCGGGGGAUAACUACGCGAAAGCGUAGCUAAUACCGCAUCCGAUUGGCGCGGCCGAGAUCGGAUUAGCUAGUUGGUGGGGUAACGGCUCACCAAGGCGACGAUCCGUAGCCGGUUUGAGAGGGCGACCAGCCACACUGGGACUGAGACACGGCCCAGACUCCUACGGGAGGCAGCAGUGGGGAAUUUUUGACAAUGGGGGAAAGCCUGACCCAGCCACCCCGCGUGAGGGAUGAAGGCCUUCGGGUCGUAAAGCACUUUUGGUAGGGAAGCGGUACCUACACAAUAAGCACCGGCUAACUACGUGCCAGCAGCCGCGGUAAUAC